This 253-nucleotide ribosomal RNA is filed under the name uncultured bacterium. RNAcentral's name for it is "partial 16S ribosomal RNA". It matches the Rfam family "Bacterial small subunit ribosomal RNA", at positions 524 to 776 of the family's 1533-position model. The record is from RNAcentral.
GACGUAGGUGGCGAACGUUAUCCGGAAUCAUUGGGCGUAAAGCGCGUGUAGGCGGUUCGGUAAGUCCGCUGUGAAAGUCGGGGGCUCAACCCUCGAACGCCGGUGGAUACUGUCGGACUAGAGUACGGAAGAGGCGAGUGGAAUUCCUGGUGUAGCGGUGAAAUGCGCAGAUAUCAGGAGGAACACCAAUUGCGAAGGCAGCUCGCUGGGACGUUACUGACGCUGAGGCGCGAAAGCCAGGGGAGCGAACGGG